RNAcentral lists this ribosomal RNA (253 nucleotides) under uncultured bacterium. Its description in RNAcentral is "partial 16S ribosomal RNA". It matches the Rfam family "Bacterial small subunit ribosomal RNA", at positions 524 to 776 of the family's 1533-position model. The record is from RNAcentral.
UACGUAGGGCGCAAGCGUUGUCCGGAAUUAUUGGGCGUAAAGAGCUCGUAGGCGGCUUGUCGCGUCGGUUGUGAAAGCCCGGGGCUUAACUCCGGGUCUGCAGUCGAUACGGGCAGGCUAGAGUUCGGUAGGGGAGAUCGGAAUUCCUGGUGUAGCGGUGAAAUGCGCAGAUAUCAGGAGGAACACCGGUGGCGAAGGCGGAUCUCUGGGCCGAUACUGACGCUGAGGAGCGAAAGCGUGGGGAGCAAACAGG